Ricinus communis (castor bean) is the source of this 1231-nucleotide RNA transcript. RefSeq lists it as uncharacterized. Lineage: Eukaryota; Viridiplantae; Streptophyta; Magnoliopsida; Malpighiales; Euphorbiaceae. The transcript has 6 exons. The record is from RefSeq and is a predicted model, not a curated record.
GACGGUUUCUUUUUUCCCUCUGCACCAGCAACAAACUAACGCUUGGAUCUUCACGUGUCUAUCUCUCGCUUUUUUUCGUUUGCGUCUAUUUUCUUCUUCUUUUUUCUUCUUCUGCGCCUUCGGCUUCGUUUCUUGCAAAACUUAUCACCGUCUUUCUUGUUUUCUUUGUAAUAUUUGACGGUGGUCUUUGAUAGAUAACAAGCUAGCACGUAGGCAAAAAUAAAGUGCGAGUCAGUAAUACCAAUAGAGAAAGAAUUACACAGAGGUUUAAAGAAAAAGGCUUUAGAUUAGAUAUGGAAGGAAAGAAGCAGCAAUUGGGUUCUUCCUCUUCUUCAUCAUUUACUUCUGAACUGUUUGGUUCUAAAGAUUCUUCUUCUUCUUCCUCUGGGAUUUUUGGCUCUAUUUUUGCACCUCCUCCUAAGGUGUUGGGGAGAGGGUCACUACGAUCUGAGAUGGUUGGCAAGAAGCAGGAUUCUGCUAAUGGUUCUUGGAACACCAUACCUGGACCUCCAGCCGAAACUUCUAAAAGCAACGAGAGUGAAGGUCAGAACAUUCCAAGUAGAGAUACAGGUUCCUUUUAUCAGGAUCAGAAAGUGCAACCAUGCCAUCUCAGUUCAUCAAUCUAUUAUGGUGGUCAAGACAUUUAUCAUCAUCCCCAGAAUAGCCAGAGCUCUAGUCACUCAAUGUAUCAUGGCUGGUUUUCUCAGCAUCAUCUUGUAAAUUGGCUCAUGCCUCAUGAUCAAAUUGAGGAACUUCUGACAUGUUCUAUUAACUCAUUCAGUUCAAGAAAGAAGGGACAGAAGACGAUUCUGGAAGUGCUUCAAGAGGAAACUGGUGGCAGGGGUCUCUGUAUUACUGAGAUCUCAUCUGCCAUGACACAUACUCAGCUAGGUACUUAUCUCUAAAAGGGACCUACUGGAAUAGAUAUAUUUUACAUAACAGUUUUUCCUUUAAAUUUAUGCAUAAAGGCACGUAUAUAACAUAGGGCAGCAGUAGCACCUAAAAAUUUACCUUUUGUUUUGUGUAAGAUGGGAAGUGGCAGUCAGAUGGCUGGUUAUUGUUAUAUCCUCCAGCUAAAGAUAUAUUUCUAUAUAUCAUAACAUGUAUCAACUCUCUGCUUCUUCCUUUUCUUUUUAUUAUAUUGUAAAGGAUGAUGAACUUUUUUUUUGUAACAUAAGUGAUAUUCUCUUUAGGAGGCACCCUGAAUGGAUAUUUCAUAUGCAUUCUCUUA